RNAcentral lists this ribosomal RNA (429 nucleotides) under Chloroflexota bacterium. RNAcentral's name for it is "Chloroflexi bacterium partial 16S ribosomal RNA". It matches the Rfam family "Bacterial small subunit ribosomal RNA", at positions 355 to 776 of the family's 1533-position model. The record is from RNAcentral. Lineage: Bacteria; Bacillati; Chloroflexota.
UGGGGAAUAUUGCACAAUGGGCGCAAGCCUGAUGCAGCCAUGCCGCGUUUAUGAAGAAGGCCUUCGGGUUGUAAAGUACUUUCAGCGGGGAGGAAGAGAGUAAAGUUAAUACCUUUGCUCAUUGACGUUACCCGCAGAAGAAGCACCGGCUAACUCCGUGCCAGCAGCCGCGGUAAUACGGAGGGUGCAAGCGUUAAUCGGAAUUACUGGGCGUAAAGCGCACGCAGGCGGUUUGUUAAGUCAGAUGUGAAAUCCCCGGGCUCAACCUGGGAACUGCAUCUGAUACUGGCAAGCUUGAGUCUCGUAGAGGGAGGUAGAAUUCCAGGUGUAGCGGUGAAAUGCGUAGAGAUCUGGAGGAAUACCGGUGGCGAAGGCGGCCCCCUGGACGAAGACUGACGCUCAGGUGCGAAAGCGUGGGGAGCAAACAGG